GAUGAACGCUGGCGGCGUGCUUAACACAUGCAAGUCGAACGAUGAACCCGGAGCUUGCUCCGGUGGAUUAGUGGCGAACGGGUGAGUAACACGUGAGUAACCUGCCCUUGACUCUGGGAUAACUGCGGGAAACUGUAGCUAAUACCGGAUACGACCCUCGGCGGCAUCGCCAGGGGGUGGAAAGAAUUUCGGUCAAGGACGGACUCGCGGCCUAUCAGCUAGUUGGUGAGGUAACGGCUCACCAAGGCGACGACGGGUAGCCGACCUGAGAGGGCGAACGGUCACACUGGAACUGAGACACGGUCCAGACUCCUACGGGAGGCAGCAGUGGGGAAUAUUGCACAAUGGGCGCAAGCCUGAUGCAGCAACGCCGCGUGAGUGAAGAAGGCCUUCGGGUCGUAAAGCUCUGUCCUCUGGGACGAAUAAAGUGACGGUACCAGAGGAGGAAGCCCCGGCUAACUACGUGCCAGCAGCCGCCGUAA
This 482-nucleotide ribosomal RNA is filed under the name uncultured bacterium. Its description in RNAcentral is "partial 16S ribosomal RNA". It matches the Rfam family "Bacterial small subunit ribosomal RNA", at positions 28 to 523 of the family's 1533-position model. The record is from RNAcentral.